RNAcentral lists this ribosomal RNA (455 nucleotides) under Corioxenos acucyrtophallus. RNAcentral describes it as "partial 16S large subunit ribosomal RNA". Lineage: Eukaryota; Metazoa; Arthropoda; Insecta; Strepsiptera; Corioxenidae. The record is from RNAcentral.
AUUGACUGUACUAAGGUAGCAUAAUAAUUUGUUUUCUAAUAGGGAACUUGUAUGAAAGAUUUAUUGAAAAAAAUAUUUUUUUAAAUUAAAUGUAUGAAAUUUUUUUUUAAGUGAAAAAACUUAAAUAAGUAUAAAAGACGAGAAGACCCUAUAAAACUUUAUUUAUAAUAUAAAAUAUAGAUAAUUUGAUUUUUAUAAAUUUAAUUGGGGAAAUUAUUAAAUUUUAUAAAUUUUAAAGUAAAUAUUUUUAUAUUUAAAUUUUAUAAUGAUCUUUAACUUAAGGAUUUAAGAUAAGUUGCUUUAGGGAUAACAGUAUAAUUUUUUUAUUAAGUUCUUAUAUAAAAAAAAGUUUAUUACCCCGAUGUUGGAUUAAAAUAUAUUAUUUAAUGAAGUUUUUAAAUAUUAUUAGUCUGUUCGACUAAAAUUUUUACAUGAUCUGAGUUUAAAUCGGUGUG